RNAcentral lists this ribosomal RNA (301 nucleotides) under uncultured bacterium. Its description in RNAcentral is "partial 16S ribosomal RNA". It matches the Rfam family "Bacterial small subunit ribosomal RNA", at positions 509 to 807 of the family's 1533-position model. The record is from RNAcentral.
CAGUAGCCACGGGAAUACGAAGGGGGCUAGCGUUGCUCGGAAUCACUGGGCGUAAAGGGUGCGUAGGCGGGUCUUUAAGUCAGGGGUGAAAUCCUGGAGCUCAACUCCAGAACUGCCUUUGAUACUGAAGAUCUUGAGUUCGGGAGAGGUGAGUGGAACUGCGAGUGUAGAGGUGAAAUUCGUAGAUAUUCGCAAGAACACCAGUGGCAAAGGCGGCUCACUGGCCCGAUACUGACGCUGAGGCACGAAAGCGUGGGGAGCAAACAGGAUUAGAUACCCCCGUAGUCCCUGUCUCUUAUAC